AAAAGGAAGAGAAGCCAGUGUGGGCAAAAUCUGCUCUCUCUAGUCCCCGUCAGUAUGCUCACUGCAGCAUUUUGGAUUAACUGAAGGCUUUUCAGGCAGUUUUUAGGACAUCCUGAUAAUAAUCAAUUACAGUAGUCCAGCCUGGAAGUAAGACAGAGCCUGAUUAUUCAACAUCUUGUAUGUGAGGAGGAAAAUGUUUAAUUCCGUUCUGGAUGUAUGAGGGAGGCACAGAAUAGUAGCAAGAGACAGGAUAUUUCUAACUUCAGAGAUGUUGCGCAAAUGGAAGAAAGCAGUCUUACAUAUUUGUUUAAUAUGUGCGUUGAAGGACAUGUCCUGGUCAAAAAUGACUCCAAGGUUCCUCACAGCGUUACUGGAGGCCAAGCUGUUUUGGGAUUGUGAGGAAGACAAACACAUUCGGUCUGUUUUACCUGCAAACUGCACAGGUAAGCGGACCAUGAACGUAAUAACCCUGCUAAAGGAAUCAUUACAGAGGAUGUGCGAGGCUUUAACGUGUCAAAGGUUCAAUGCAGAUGACUUAGGCUCCUUCACUCAUUUACUGUUUUUCAAGGUAGAAUAUUACAGGUCCAUAAGAUAUUGUGUGAAGUGGAAAGGAUCCAUGUGUCCCCAACGCUCCAACAGACAGCCUAGGGCCUCCAAGAAGAACACCAAGACAAGCCCCGCUCCAGAGGAAGAAGUCAUCCAGCGUCAGCUGAGAGGGCGGAGGGGGAAAGGCAGUACUGGUGACAGCCUCUGUAUCGCAGGUGAGGGAACAGGGUGCGACAUCCUCGACAUCAUUACCACUCAGGAAGAGAAGCAUGUUGGUGAAGAAGAUGGGGGAAAGGCGGUAGAGAUAGCUCAUAAAGAACUGGACGACUUGGAUGAAGACCGAGUCUCUGUUUGCAGCAGCACAGCGUCUGGUCCCUCUUUUUAUCACUCCACCUACAGAAAAGCGAGGCCUUCCCAGAACCUGUGCUUGGCCUGUCAGAAGCUCUACCAGAAAGCAAAGAAGAUAAAAACACCAAUCAUAAACAAACUGCUGGACAAUGAUCCUAUGUCCCCGACAUGUGACCAGUGGGUCCUUAUCAAAAAGCGGACAUCCCAAAGGUGGCCUGAUGCAAGAGGGAAGCUUUUGAGCCACAUAAAGAAGAUAAAGAAGGCCUGUGAGAAACAAAGUGAGCAGCGUGUGGAAGAAUCUGCCGUCUGUUCAAGGCCGCACACUUUCCUCCACAGGAACCUCAGACGAUGUGUGAAAGCGAAAAAGGAGAGGAAGAAGAAUAAGAACAGGAGGAAGAGACAGAGAGACGGUUCGCAGGGUACUCGUGCCGCUAAGCAGCAGCGUCUCCACACCAACACUCCCAUCAAGAUGACCUGUGUAGAGCCAAACAGCCGCCGAAAAAGCAGCAGUCAGGGGAACAGAGGUGUGACUGCUGAGGCGAUUCCCUCGUCUGUGACACAGGAAGCCACCACACCAAGCAAGAGAACACCAAAGCAGACGGGUAGAUUCAGAAACUUGCUGGCUGAGCUACGGAGCAAGAGCAGCAUGAUUGUAAGAGAAACACACUAGUGAGGAGGCAGGAUUCGAGUGCUAAUCGCUUUUAGUCGUGAUGUUCUGCUGGUCUUCAGUAUUGUUACCUAUUCGGUGGCCUAUGCCUAGAGUUACUUGACAAAGUGCCGUCGCAGUUCUGUGCAUGUUUUGUUUGU
Molecule: long non-coding RNA, 1701 nt
Organism: Astatotilapia calliptera (eastern happy)
Lineage: Eukaryota; Metazoa; Chordata; Actinopteri; Cichliformes; Cichlidae
Source: Ensembl